GGGUGGUAAUAGGGAAUGAGAAUUUGCAUCCCUUUCUUCCAUGGACACAUCAGCUGAUACUGGGUCAGACGCAGACGUUGAAGAGGAGUCACGGAAAGGGGCCGGGCUUAACGGUGGAAGCGAAUCAAGUGAAAAAAAUGAAGGCUGAGAUGAAGAUCUUGAAUGGGUGGUAAUAGGGAAUGAGAAUUUGCAUCCCUUUCUUCCAUGGACACAUCAGCUGAUACUGGGUCAGACGCAGACGUUGAAGAGGAGUCACGGAAAGGGGCCGGGCUUAACGGUGGCAGCGAAUCAAGUGGAAAAAAUGAAGGCUGAGAUGAAGAUCUUGAAUGGGUGGGUCCUGGACUAAAGUUCUGAGAAACCAUUUGCUGGCUUGUUGGCCUAGAGAACGGGAUCUGAGAAUACGGCGAAAUGGGUGGGAUCUGAUUGGGGUGGGAAGGCGGUAUCCCUACUCUUUUGCCAUUAUCACUGCUAAAAUUCUGUGCAAAGUGAGCAAAAUGCCUGGCACGCAUUUGGGUCUGGUUCAAUUGAGGUAUAUCGAGUUGGUUCAUUGAUGAAAAAGGUUGUUUAGACAUUAAAGAAGAUGAUUGCGUAGUCUCAAAAGAAGAUUGAAGCCUUUGCAUCAUUUCACU
RNAcentral lists this unclassified non-coding RNA (629 nucleotides) under Hevea brasiliensis (rubber tree). The record is from RNAcentral. Lineage: Eukaryota; Viridiplantae; Streptophyta; Magnoliopsida; Malpighiales; Euphorbiaceae.